This is a non-coding RNA of Schizosaccharomyces pombe (fission yeast), 1258 nucleotides long. The record is from the annotation of a GenBank genome assembly. NCBI's taxonomy places the organism in Eukaryota, Fungi, Ascomycota, Schizosaccharomycetes, Schizosaccharomycetales, Schizosaccharomycetaceae.
CAUCUACCGAAGUCCUUGGAGCAAACUAAAUGUGUAAUCUGUAUACUGUGAAACAUCCAUAGUUUUUGUUGUACUUUGGAAUAUGGAUUCUUUGCACAGAAGUUCAAAAAUUUGUUGCCAACCAAGUAAGUCAGUAAAGGGUUGAGGGAUUACCCAUGGACAGCUUUUUUUAUGUUCUUCCAAUACGUCGAAAUCUUGUCCUUCACUUUGUAAAUUCCAAACACCCAAACGUCUGUGACAGUAGUUACACACAUACAAACGACCAGGAACUUGCUCACUCCAUCCAGUCAAUGCGAUGCCAAGCAAAACAGCAGCGUCCUCUUUCUCCCAAUCAACACGAAUUUUAUUUGCAACCUUUUCAAGACGUUUUAAGGUCAUCUCUUCAGGAAGAUGCGUAGAUACCAAGCGAGUGGACAGACUGUUAAACCGUCGUCCGACCUGAACCAGUUCGGCAGAUACUGAUAAAUGAUAAAUGUCUGGAGGAAAUUUAUGUAGUCUCCAUAAGCAAUUGUCUUGGUGUUCCUCUUUCAAAGAUACUUCCAACCGUUCCUUAGUUUUUUCUGGUAAUUCAUUAAGCGAAUCGUUCUCUGCAUCAACUUGCUGUAAAGCAGUUAAAUUAAUUUUAUUCCUACAAACAUCGCAAACUAAAAUGUUAUUGGAUUCACAAAGCCACCCAUUAAGGCAGCAGUUUAUCUCACCAAUUUGAGGAUCGUUUACAUAAGCCCACCGACUUCUAUAAGUCAACAAUCGUCUCAAAAACUCUUCUCUGCUCCAGGGCUUAUAUGUGCAUUUAGAAGCUUUUAGAGACUUUAAAAGAAUAUCUUCAUUUCUUUCGUCAAUUUUGUCUAACUGAUCCAAAAUUUCAUUUGUCUCCAUAUCGGUAGGAAAUGACAUUAUCACCCGUUCUAAGAGUUAAAAAAUUAUAUUUCUUUUCGAAAAAUGUGGUGUCUCAAAUAUUAUCAUAGAAAACUUUUAUUACAUGCCUUUUCCAAACGUUUUCAGCAGGAAUCAAGGUAGCGCAAGUCAAAGUACUUAGGAAGGAUCUCAAAAUACCAAUUUGGAUCAUGAGCUCAAUAUUCGUUUCAUCAAAAUUGUUAAAAAGUUUUACCGUUUUAAGAAAACAUGUCCAUGUUAUUAGCCAAACCACACUUGAAGGCAUAAAUUCCUUGAAAUUGAUCAACACCACCGUAUAGUAAAUUUACGAGAAUACUAAAAGUAAAAUAGUAAGGUAAUAUGGAAAAUAACUAUACAAUUAACC